GGGGGGGGGGGGGGGGGGGGGGAGCGGCGCCGGCGAGGGGAAUAUGGAUACUGAAGAUUGAAAAUAAGAGAUGAAUUUUUGGAUUUAGGGUUUUAUUGAUAAAUUUAUGGAGGCGGGAUUUUGAAUCUGGGAAAAGUACAAGGAGCGGUUUAGUUUGGGUGGGAAAGGAAGCUCCAGAAUUUGGAUUUCGAAAUUCUUUCCUUUCUUUUU
RNAcentral lists this unclassified non-coding RNA (210 nucleotides) under Hevea brasiliensis (rubber tree). Lineage: Eukaryota; Viridiplantae; Streptophyta; Magnoliopsida; Malpighiales; Euphorbiaceae. The record is from RNAcentral.